CAUAGUUGUCGUCUCGAGGGUCCUCUCCGCUCAUGCUGUCUUCGUCUCCUUACCAGAGAGAUUUGGACUCCAGCAUCCUGAACUCUGUGGACACGUCGCUGGUGUCUGCUGGAGACACGAGCUUCUUUAACGGAUCCUGGCAUCAGCGCAGGUUGCUGUCCAGCAGUCUUGAGGAGCUGCAGAGCGGAUCUUUACAAAAGGUUUGUUAGAACAUUUAAACUCACUUUGCUGCCGCUGAUGAACUCUACAGAUACCGUAAUCUAAUCCAACUAAUCUGUAUGUCUAAUCUGAC
Molecule: non-coding RNA, 292 nt
Organism: Plectropomus leopardus (leopard coralgrouper)
Lineage: Eukaryota; Metazoa; Chordata; Actinopteri; Perciformes; Serranidae
Source: RefSeq, a predicted model, not a curated record